Molecule: ribosomal RNA, 253 nt
Filed under: uncultured bacterium
Lineage: Bacteria
Description: partial 16S ribosomal RNA
Rfam family: Bacterial small subunit ribosomal RNA
Source: RNAcentral
GACAGAGGGUGCAAGCGUUGUGCGGAAUUAUUGGGCGUAAAGGGCGCGUAGGCGGUCUUGCAAGUCAUAUGUGAAAUCCCAGGGCUUAACCCUGGAAGUGCAUCUGAUACUGCUCGACUUGAGUCCCGGAGAGGGUGGUGGAAUUCCCAGUGUAGAGGUGAAAUUCGUAGAUAUCCGGAGGAACCCCAGUGGCGAAAGCGGCCACCUGGACUGCACCUGACGCUGACACGCGAAAGCUAGGGGAGCGAACGGG